CCCUUAGAUGUUCUGGGCCGCAUGCGCGCUACACUGAUGCAUUCAACGAGUUACCUUGACCGUGAGGUCCGGGAAAUCUUUGAAACUGCAUCGUGAUGGGGAUAGAUUAUUGCAAUUCUUAAUCUUCAACGAGGAAUGCCUAGUAAGCGCAAGUCAUCAGCUUGCAUUGAUUACGUCCCUGCCCUUUGUACACACCGCCCGUCGCACCUACCGAUUGAAUGGUCCGGUGAAAUCUUCGGAUCUGAGAGAUGUCUGAUUAAUUUCGGACGCCUUUUGGAAAAGUUGUUUAAACCUUACCAUUUAGAGGAAGGUGAANUCGUAACA
Molecule: ribosomal RNA, 324 nt
Filed under: uncultured eukaryote
Lineage: Eukaryota
Description: partial 18S ribosomal RNA
Rfam family: Eukaryotic small subunit ribosomal RNA
Source: RNAcentral